UGGGGAAUUUUGGACAAUGGGCGCAAGCCUGAUCCAGCCAUACCGCGUGCAGGAUGAAGGCCUUCGGGUUGUAAACUGCUUUUGUACGGAACGAAAAAGCUCUAUUUAAUACAGGGGGU
This 119-nucleotide ribosomal RNA is filed under the name uncultured bacterium. RNAcentral's name for it is "partial 16S ribosomal RNA". It matches the Rfam family "Bacterial small subunit ribosomal RNA", at positions 355 to 470 of the family's 1533-position model. The record is from RNAcentral.